UACGUAGGGGGCGAGCGUUGUCCGGAAUUACUGGGCGUAAAGGGCUCGUAGGUGGCCAACUAAGUCAGACGUGAAAUCCCUCGGCUUAACCGGGGAACUGCGUCUGAUACUGGAUGGCUUGAGUUUGGGAGAGGGAUGCGGAAUUCCAGGUGUAGCGGUGAAAUGCGUAGAUAUCUGGAGGAACACCGGUGGCGAAGGCGGCAUCCUGGACCAACACUGACACUGAGGAGCGAAAGCCAGGGGAGCAAACGGG
RNAcentral lists this ribosomal RNA (253 nucleotides) under uncultured bacterium. Its description in RNAcentral is "partial 16S ribosomal RNA". It matches the Rfam family "Bacterial small subunit ribosomal RNA", at positions 524 to 776 of the family's 1533-position model. The record is from RNAcentral.